UUCGAACACCCCCUUCGGGUUCUCUUGUUCGGGCCGUUCCAGAUGAGGAGCCGACUUUCUCUUUUCCCUUUGAAGUUCUUUUAGGAGGCAUCCUGAAAAAGGAAGUACACAAUAUCAAUCACUUUGUAUAGGAAUAUUUGCAGCUCUUUUCACGCCGCCACUCCAGUUCUCCAACACCGGGUGUUUUGUUGCAUCAUUCACCAUCUGUUUUACCAUGUCGGACGAUGAGCCUGUAGAUCCAAAGCAAGAACUUGAAGAGCGAAGCAAGGCACCAUGUACGAGACCACUUAAAGAAUAUCAGGCAUGUGCUAAAAGGAUCCAAGGUGAUGAAAGUGGGCACAAGCACUGUACUGGACAAUUCUUUGAUUAUUGGCAGUGCGUUGACAAAUGUGUUGCAACUAAGCUAUUUACAUAUCUUAAAUGACCGGGCAAGACCUCAAUGUUGUUCUGGCACCAGAAUACGUUUAGUCCAAAACCAAUUGGUUCAGUAUUAUUCUGUUUUUGUGAAAACUAUUUAUGCUUGUAUGCCUACUUAGAUAAAUGGCAUGUUGAACUAUGAAUUAUGAGCACUUCAUUGUGAUCAAUAAAAGAAAAAUUGUGGGAUUGAAUUUUAAAAAAAAAAAAUCACUUUGUAUAGGAAUAACGGGCAUUAAUAAUCUUUGAAUUCAUAAUCCCCCAAACUUUCUUCAACAUGCACAUGUACGUGUGCUUAUGCAAUUUUUCAAAACAUGAAUCACCAAUAUA
Molecule: long non-coding RNA, 744 nt
Filed under: Olea europaea subsp. europaea
Lineage: Eukaryota; Viridiplantae; Streptophyta; Magnoliopsida; Lamiales; Oleaceae
Source: RNAcentral